GGAGGUGGGGAGUAGAUGCUGUGUUGUCUGUGCGGGGGUGUUAGGACCUCAGCAGGCGGCAGCUGAGCUCACUGAUGCUAUACCAGCCUUCCCACCCCUUCUCUCCCCUUUUCAUUACAGAGGGGACACCCAAGGCACGUGGCGACCAACGUGGGGUGCAAUACUCCUCACCUUGCUCCUCCCCGCCCGAGAUCCGCAGCCCAGCUCCUCGGACGUCUUCCACCCACCUGCAUAUUCAACUUGCACCAGCCGCCCAGUAUAAAGUCCCUUGGCUGCUGCAAAAUCUUUGACCUAAGCCACCGGAGCUAGAGCUGGGACCUGAGAAAGUCAACCUGCCUGACAUCAGCGAUGUCCCACGAGGUCAGCGUGGCGUAUCGGUGACAUCACGGCAGGUCAGGACAAGGCGACUUGUAUGGAGCAAAUGUGAAUACAUUUGAAUGAAAAUAUCUGAAUCACCGAAUGCCCAUUUUCUGCAAAAUGCUACCCCUUUAAUCUUUCUGGCCGCAAGAGAGAGACCCACCUUGGAAGUGUCUCCUUAUACGAUGCUGAGUUUGUAAAGACCAGAAGCUAAGAAGUAACAGGCAGAGGGUGGAAGGGAACUGUUCCGAAUUUGUUCAGAAAACCUCUCUUGGCAAACAUUGCUUGCAACAAAAGGGGCGAUGGAUGCGGCGAUCGCCAGGUCAAGGAUGGGUGGUGUUUGUCCCUGCCAAUCGAGGGAUCCACCCGCUUGUGGCGAGCAGCAGCUCUAUGGGAAGUCCAGCAAAUUAAGGAAAACAAAUGUCUCCCCAUCCACUAGGACCUCAGUAAUCAGAAAACAAGGGCUGGAAGGAACCUCAGGAGAUCAUCCAGUCCAACCCCCUGCUCCAAGCAGGACCAGCCCCAACUGCAUCAUCCCCACGUCACCAUCUCCUAAAGUUAUGCAAGGCCUUUUGGAUUCAUGCGCGUAACCUUCGACCGGUGACUUCAGUCCGGAGGAAGUUGGCAAACCGAGUGGAGCUUGCAAGAAAUCCUCAGUAAACAUCUUGUGAUAGAUCCAGCGCAGAAGGUCCCUGGCUUUGAUCUCCUGCAACACUCGUGAGCAACUCGAAACUGCAUCUGCACUAACCAUGGGAGAUGCGGAUACUGGAUGCACAAAUGGGAAAUUAAAAACUCUCCGGUGUGCGACGGUGGUCACCUGGAACAGAGCAGGGAACAUAUAACGACUCAAUGUCCGAUCCACAAACACGACGGAUGUGUUGCUGCUCCUGGUGCGAUUGUCUGGCUCAACCACCUACAUGUAAAAUCCUAGCUGCUGUUCUGUAUCUACAUCAGCCAUUUGAAAGGAGGAGGAGGAGGAAUCACAGCUCUUCUAGCAAGCUCCAGUGGCCAUGGAUAUAUAUACAUGGAAAUGCUUGACUCGAAGGCAGCUUGUUUCUACCCACUCCAGACUUGUGAGGGAUGGAGCCAGGGUACCAGCUCUUCCACCUGGUCGAUGACGACCCUCCCCAAGAUCCUGGGCCCUGGAAAAGAUGGUGCUGGCAGGUGCUGUCUGUUGUGCCCUUGAAGCCCAAACCUGUGCGUGCCGCCCUCCGUCCCUGCCGCCAGGACCUGAUGUGGGCAGCCCAUGCCGCUGGCAGAAGAGACGGCUGCGGGUGCAGCUCCCUGGCUGGAGGCAAGGGGAGCGAGGAAUAGGAGGUUGCUCUCAUGACGUCCAGGAGGGAGCAGGGAUGGAGCAGCAAUCGCAUGGUUGUGGACAGCUCUCAGCAAGUGGAGAAGGAGGUUGGAUUAUGCAGAGACAGAUAAUCAGCAUUUGCCUCUGGGCAGGGGUGGAGGACCGCACAAAGACAGCCCAGGAGUCCAGGCUUGUUGCGGGGUCCGUGCCGAGCGCGCCCUCCGGAGACCUGCCUUCUGCAAAUCCAAGACCAUCCCUCCGACGCCGACACCAGUGUCCUUCCAAGGCACCCUCCCUGGCUUGGUGCUGUUUCUCCGCAUCGGGUUUGCAGAACCGUCCAUUUUAUUGCCAUAGCCCUGCUCCCACGUCCCACCCAGAACAGCCGCAGGCUCAUGAUCCCUUCAUUAGGGCCCUCGGGGCCUUCUCCGGGCCACAGCGCGAAGGUCAAGUGCUUUGCUCAAAGUGCAUCUCGGUGGAAGAGCCUCCGCAGGUGCCAUGAUGCGGGAACAGCCUGCUCCGAGGAUAUGGACCUGGGAUGGAAACGGGAGACCCAGAGCGGCCGCGGGGGCACGGGCCGUGCCUGGCAUGCUGGGCAGGCCUUCGGAGGGCUGAGCAAGACCGAUGAGGACACGGGAGCUGCAGGGAAAGGAGCUCCUCCAGAAAUCGAAGUGGAUUUGAGGCCGCGAGGCGAUCUUGCUGCCUGCUCCUGCCAUGGGAAGUCUUGUUCCACGGGGUCGUGACUGUGAUUCACGUCCCUGCUUUGCCAGGGAUUUUUCCUUUCCUCUGUUGUGUCCUGGCUCUGACUUCUUCACUCUGUGGAUUCCCACGUGGGCCUUAAUGGGACUGAAUUAGCCGCCCCGGAGGCACUCGCUGAUGGGCCUUUAGACUUGGAAAUUCUCCUCUUGGCCGGGUGACUUUCAGGCCGGAUGCUUCAGGGCAAAUAGCUUAGUGGUUUGGGGUCAUGCAGUAGCUUGAUUUUUUUUUUUUUAAUUUUUUUUUUAAUUAUUAUUAUUAUUAUCCUGCUCUCUAAAGGGCCAAGUGUUUUCCUGUUUCCACGGAGGCAGCGCUGGAAUUUUUUCUUACGUCUUCGGGUCUCAGUCCUGGAAGCGUGGAUGGUUUGACCAGGCAAGGAAAGCAUGUUGCUCACACGCUGCAGCCUUUUGCAGUGGGAAUAAUAAAAGCAAAGCCACGCGGUUUUUCGUUCUUCUCUUUUUUUCGGAGCAGAGCGCCACGAGGAUCACACCGGGGUUCGAACAGUUUGGUGAUGUGGUCUCGCGAGUCUGAUGCUGCGAGGUGAGCAGCUGUGGGAGGUCCCAGAUGCUCCGGUGCUUCAAGCCCAGGAGAGGCCAUCGAUCCCAGGAGGAUCCACCGUGUUUCUAUAGGUGCUGCUCCAUUUGGAGAAUAUAUGAAGCUCGGCGUGUGGCCCGGUGAAGCAACACCUUGGACCCACAACCACAGCUGCAGGGACAUCAAGGUGACAGUGAUGGCUUCACCCACAGAAACACUUCUUAAUAAAUACAUUUUCUGCCUUAUUCGUGCCUGGUCUUUUCCAUCUGCCUUAACUCAGAGACCUCCACGCUGAGGCCCUGCAGUGCGUGAGGCUGACUAUAAAGGCUGUGCUUGGACAACCUUGGCCCAAACCAAGCAAAACUGCAUAUGUACCAAGCACAACUGCAUAUGUACCAGCCUGGCUGGGCCAAAACAGGUUUCCCUGUCCCAUCUCUUACCUGUGACUUUAAGCACCCCUAAUGGCCAUUACAAUUUUAACUCCCCCCCUUCAAGUGCCUGUUUUUUUCCUCCAGCUCUACAUGUGUUUCCUACCCUAUAGUGUCCAUGCAAAUGGCAAGGAGUUACCAUGUACGUAUACAAUAAAAGGGAGAUCCUAAAUGA
Molecule: long non-coding RNA, 3541 nt
Organism: Alligator mississippiensis (American alligator)
Lineage: Eukaryota; Metazoa; Chordata; Crocodylia; Alligatoridae
Exons: 3
Source: RefSeq, a predicted model, not a curated record